RNAcentral lists this unclassified non-coding RNA (3678 nucleotides) under Hevea brasiliensis (rubber tree). Lineage: Eukaryota; Viridiplantae; Streptophyta; Magnoliopsida; Malpighiales; Euphorbiaceae. The record is from RNAcentral.
GUUCUAUGGCUUCUUCAAUUUGCAUAAACGAGAUGCUGACAGAUGACGAGCUGCGGUCGAUUCUGUCCAAGCUGGAGUGCGACAAGGAUAAGGAGAUAUUUGGGUUGGUAUGCAAGAGAUGGCUCCGCUUGCAGAGUACGGAAAGGAAGAAACUUGCUGCUCGUGCUGGUCCCCAAAUGCUUCAGAAGAUGGCUGCCAGGUUCUCUUGUUUGAUUGAAUUGGACCUUUCUCAGUCAAUUUCCAGGUCCUUUUAUCCUGGGUUUACCGACUCUGAUCUUGCCGUCAUUGCUAAUGGCUUUAAAUGCUUGAGGGUCCUUAAUUUGCAGAAUUGUAAAGGUAAAGUGAUGUUCUUUCUGAAAAAGAAACAAAAAUUAUCCCUUUUUUCUUUUUUUUUUGGAAUUAUCGAGUGUUCAUUUUGUUGAUAAUAAUAUCUCAUUUGGUGGAAAAUGUUUUACUGAUGAAAAAUAUUAAGUUUGUUCUUCUAGCUUUGUCUCUAAACAUGGUGAGUUAUUGAAGAAAAUUUCUGAACUUGCUUAAUAUGCGUAGUUGCGUUGAUGGUUGAGGUUGAGAUAAGGCCAAACAUUAACAAAUUGGGAAAGUAACUUAAACUUCGUAAAGUUAGCUUUGCAUUAUUCUGCUUCUCAUGUCAUUGUAACUUUAUUUAGCAAUUGGAGGAGACUGAAUUUGAAGAACUGGCGAGCUGGAUUAGGUGUGGUUUAUGUUUACCUUUUAGUCUCUUGUUUAUCCUCAGUCUCUGUGGUUGAACAUCUUCUUGGAUCAAAGUCUUUGAUUUUUAAUCUAUCAAUGUAGGGAAAAUUUUUGCUGAAGGUUAGGUUCUUGCCUUAUUUCUUGUACAAUUUUCUGUUGACUUACCAAUUAUGCAUAUUUCCUUAUUUGUUGUAUUAUUGUUGUGUCACAGGUAUUUCAGAUAGUGGAAUGCAGUCAAUUGGUUGUGGUCUCUCUUCUCUACGGUCAUUGGAUGUAUCCUAUUGCAGAAAGCUAACAGACAAGGGAUUCUCAUCUGUUGCUGAGGGUUGUAGAGAUCUAGAGAGCCUACAUCUUGCUGGAUGCAGAUUUGUUACUGAUGGUGUGUUAAAGUCUCUUUCUAAGAACUGUCCUAAUCUCCAGGAAUUGGGCCUGCAAGGAUGCACCAACAUAACUGACCACGGGCUCACAGAUCUUGUUAGUGGUUGCCAGCGGAUCCAGUACUUAGAAAUCAAUAAAUGCAGCAAUAUUGGGGACAUUGGAAUUUCCACUCUUUCAAAGGCAUGUUCAUCUUGUCUCAAGACACUGAAGUUGUUGGAUUGCUCCAAAGUUGGGGAUGAAUCUAUAUCUUCCUUAGCCAAAUUUUGCAAUAAUCUUGAAACCCUUAUCAUUGGUGGCUGCCGAGACAUCUCUGAUAAGUCUAUAAAAUCAUUGGCCUUGGCCUGUAAAAAUAGUUUAAAGAAUUUGCGUAUGGACUGGUGUUUAAAUAUCUCCGACUCUUCAUUAAGCUGUAUCCUCACUGAGUGCAGAAAUCUAGAGGCUCUUGACAUUGGAUGCUGUGAGGAGGUUACAGAUGCUGUUUUUCAAGGUUUAGGAACUGUAGAAACUGAAUUGAGGCUGAAGGUUUUUAAAGUUAGCAACUGUCCAAAGAUAACAGUGACUGGUAUAGGCUUGCUUUUGGAGAAGUGCAACACUUUAGAAUACCUUGAUGUGAGAUCCUGCCCACAUGUUACAAAGUCAGGUUGUGAUGAGGCUGGCUUGCAGUUUCCUGAACGGUGUAAAGUAAAUUACACAGGAAGCUUGAAUGAGCCAGAGGUUCUAGUUUGAGACCCCAGAUUUUAACAGAUUGGAAUUCUGGAGAAGUUCUAUCAUUGGAAAUUCCUAUGCAAUCCCUUCCUGAAAAGUCAAUUGAGUAUCAUAAUGAACAAAGGCUUUUGCCAGCGAAUCUUCUCCUGUUCUUGUACAAACUAUGCGUUUGACUUGGAUUAAUUAAUGUUUGGCAUCUAUUAUCUAUUUUUCACCUUGGUUUUUAUGUAUAUUUUGCAUGUACAUUGUUUCUUCUGUUGUUUUGCGUGUCUAUUUAUCUUUGUUUUUUAUUUUCUCUUAGUCCUUCCAGCGGUGGAAUGUUGUUGUAAGAUGUUCAUUUUCUUGGUAUAAUAAUAAUAAUAAGAUCCUGUUUAUGAUCCCUCUGCCUCUUUUUUCCUCAUUCUUCAUAUAAAUGAUUUGUAUGCUUUCUAUGGAUGCAAUUAAGCAGUUGGGUCCUUCUGGUUUAUUUAUUUAGUUUUUCCAAUAAACUGAAAGAAGCCAGCUUAAGAAUUCUUUGACGACUAAUUAGAUGAUAUUUUAAACGAUUCCAGGUGGUGAGAGAAUCUGGUGAUGUCAGCCCAACCAAACAAUAUUUGAGCAAAUGAAAAUGAGAAAUGCAUUCAGGUGUGACCACUUCAGGAAGGUUCCAUCUGGUUUAUUUCCCUGAUCUAUGUAUUUGCUUCCAUCUUUGGAUCUUACAUUAGUUACUUUGGGAGUUAGGGAUUUUAUAAUUUGAAUACCUAAUGGAAUGUGGGGGUCCUGAUGUUGGAGUUUGUUUAGAUAUGCAAUGGCAGUAGUGUUUAUGCCUACCAUGUGAAGGAAUGGACGGGGAAUCGUGGUCUGCUACUUGUGACAGAUGCUGCCAAUAGAGGAUGAAACCAUUUUGUCAAAAAAGGCUCAUCUGGUAUGGUUCUAAAUCCCUAAAGAUUCUUUUCAACACCAGCCACCAACUUUUGCUUUCCUAAUUUAGUGGAUUGUGAAGGAUUAGCUGUUUGAAAGCAAGUUACUUUCAACAACCAGACUAAGGUGCUGCGUAUCUUCUAGGAUAAGUUAUCACAUCACAUUCAGAAACGAAUUCAGGUGCGAAUGAAAUUAUCAUAGCUCUUCAAAUAAAAACUGCUGUGAGAUUAAAAUUUUGUACAUAGAUGUUAGCAAAUGAGGUACUUGUUGUGAGGUUGCAAUUGUGUCCAUUUAGGUAGUUGCUAUAACUAUCAAUGCAACUUGAGAACCUAAUAGUCUAGUUGCUCCACUAGUUUUGGAUGAGGCUGCAAGCACACCUUUGGUUACUGGUUUUCAAGUGCUUGUCAAGCAGCUUAAAAACUGCAAUCAGCCUUUAAAAACUUGGUUCUGACCUGUUAUCUUACCUAACCCAGGCUUAAUCUAAACAAACAGCCUUCAAAAGGUGCAUGCUUGUGGAAUUUAAUCUACACUUAGUACAGAAUUAGCUAGAAAAAGAUAAUUCUUCAAAUAAGAUUAAUGAAAGGAAGUUUGAAAAAUCUUGAAGCAUUCUCAUUCACAAAAACAUCUGUACAAUUUCUGUGGUCAACUAAUUUCAUUGACAUGUCAUCAUGCUGUUUAGUUACAUUUGAUGAAGAAAAGAAGCAAGGUUUUGUUUAAAUCACAUUUGGGUGGCUUGCAUUCAUCCAAGCUUGAGAUAUUGCUUGCUGCAGACACUUGAAAGCUUUCUGAUAAUUGAAGAAACCCAUAAACCAGAAAUCAAAAUCAUCGACAGUCACUAUUUCUAUGUACUUUUGUGAUGGAUGCUUCACAUUUUCAGUUUGGUUCGCCGUCUUUAUCUUUCUUAAUGGGAUCAAGACCUUGUAAUGGACUCUGACCAUUUUCCCCCCCGGUGAAGAAAAUUUAAUUGAUCUCUCACUGCAGAAGGCA